This 253-nucleotide ribosomal RNA is filed under the name uncultured bacterium. RNAcentral's name for it is "partial 16S ribosomal RNA". It matches the Rfam family "Bacterial small subunit ribosomal RNA", at positions 524 to 776 of the family's 1533-position model. The record is from RNAcentral.
UACGAAGGGGGCUAGCGUUGUUCGGAAUUACUGGGCGUAAAGCGCGCGCAGGCGGCCAAUCAAGUCAGGGGUGAAAGCCCGGAGCUCAACUCCGGAAUUGCCUUUGAAACUGAUCGGCUUGAGUACGGGAGAGGUGAGUGGAAUUCCCAAUGUAGAGGUGAAAUUCGUAGAUAUUGGGAAGAACACCGGUGGCGAAGGCGGCUCACUGGCCCGUUUCUGACGCUCAGGCGCGACAGCGUGGGGAUCAAACAGG